This 253-nucleotide ribosomal RNA is filed under the name uncultured bacterium. Its description in RNAcentral is "partial 16S ribosomal RNA". It matches the Rfam family "Bacterial small subunit ribosomal RNA", at positions 524 to 776 of the family's 1533-position model. The record is from RNAcentral.
UACAGGGGUCUCGAGCGUUAAUCGGAAUCACUGGGCUUAAAGGGUGCGUAGGCGGAUCCGUAAGCGCUUUGUGAAAUCCCCCGGCUCAACCGGGGAAUUGCAGGGCGAACUGCGGAUCUUGAGGAAACUAGAGGCCGGUAGAACGAUUGGUGGAGCGGUGGAAUGCGUAGAUAUCAAUCGGAAUGCCAAAAGUGAAGACAGCCGGCUGGGGUUUUCCUGACGCUGAGGCACGAAAGCGUGGGGAGCAAACCGG